UCCUGAUGGCUCAGACGGUAAAGAAUCUGCCCUCAAUGCAGGAGGUCCGGGUUCGAUCCCUGGGUCAGGAA
RNAcentral lists this transfer RNA (71 nucleotides) under Bos taurus (domestic cattle). It matches the Rfam family "tRNA". Rfam says of the family: Transfer RNA (tRNA) molecules are approximately 80 nucleotides in length. The record is from Rfam by way of RNAcentral. RNAcentral also lists the same sequence under 5 other names. Lineage: Eukaryota; Metazoa; Chordata; Mammalia; Artiodactyla; Bovidae.